ACUCGAGUGGCGAACGGGUGAGUAACACGUGGGUGAUCUGCCCUGCACUUCGGGAUAAGCCUGGGAAACUGGGUCUAAUACCGGAUAGGAGCCAUUUUUAGUGUGAUGGUUGGAAAGUUUUUUCGGUGUAGGAUGAGCUCGCGGCCUAUCAGCUCGUUGGUGGGGUAAUGGCCUACCAAGGCGGCGACGGGUAGCCGGCCUGAGAGGGUGUACGGCCACAUUGGGACUGAGAUACGGCCCAG
Molecule: ribosomal RNA, 242 nt
Filed under: uncultured Actinomycetales bacterium
Lineage: Bacteria; Bacillati; Actinomycetota; Actinomycetes; Actinomycetales
Description: partial 16S ribosomal RNA
Rfam family: Bacterial small subunit ribosomal RNA
Source: RNAcentral